Molecule: ribosomal RNA, 610 nt
Filed under: Lentilactobacillus parakefiri
Lineage: Bacteria; Bacillati; Bacillota; Bacilli; Lactobacillales; Lactobacillaceae
Description: bacterial SSU rRNA
Rfam family: Bacterial small subunit ribosomal RNA
Source: RNAcentral
GCAGUCGAACGCGUCUUGGUCAAUGAUUUCAGGUGCUUGCACUUGAAAGAUUUGACAUUGAGACGAGUGGCGAACUGGUGAGUAACACGUGGGUAACCUGCCCUUGAAGUAGGGGAUAACACUUGGAAACAGGUGCUAAUACCGUAUAACAACCAAAACCACCUGGUUUUGGUUUAAAAGACGGCUUCGGCUGUCACUUUAGGAUGGACCCGCGGCGUAUUAGCUUGUUGGUAAGGUAACGGCCUACCAAGGCAAUGAUACGUAGCCGACCUGAGAGGGUAAUCGGCCACAUUGGGACUGAGACACGGCCCAAACUCCUACGGGAGGCAGCAGUAGGGAAUCUUCCACAAUGGACGAAAGUCUGAUGGAGCAACGCCGCGUGAGUGAUGAAGGGUUUCGGCUCGUAAAACUCUGUUGUUGGAGAAGAACCGUUGUCAGAGCAACUGUUGACAGCUUGACGGUAUCCAACCAGAAAGCCACGGCUAACUACGUGCCAGCAGCCGCGGUAAUACGUAGGUGGCAAGCGUUGUCCGGAUUUAUUGGGCGUAAAGCGAGCGCAGGCGGUUUUUUAGGUCUGAUGUGAAAGCCUUCGGCUUAACCGGAGAAGUGC